Long non-coding RNA from Chloebia gouldiae (Gouldian finch), 1868 nucleotides. The record is from Ensembl. Lineage: Eukaryota; Metazoa; Chordata; Aves; Passeriformes; Passeridae.
ACCUGUGACUCUCCAGGGAAAGGACUUUCCAGAGAAACAAAUCAAGAAAAAAAUAACUGGCUUAAUUUCCCUCCACCCAGCAACAGUUCUUCAUAGCUGUACACAGAGACCAUGGAGCAGCAAGAAGGGUUGUGUGGGACAGAGGCUCCUUGGGUGCUCCCACUGGCAGUGUACUUCAACACUGGGCUACAUCCAGAAGAUGCAUCUUGCACCAAGCACUUCCCUAUAGCUGAAGUUUGCAAUGAAAAGAACUCACAGAUGCAUCUCAUGACUUACAUGAAGGAGGCUGAGGUGUCAGGAGCAUACACAGGUUCUUUCCCAGCAUCUGCUGAGACAAAGGUCUCAGGCAGAGAUCUCACUGCAGAGAAUUCAUCAUCCCAAGUAACCUCAGUGGAAACAUCUUAACUUUAAACUUUGGUCUUCAGAGUGCAGGAUUUCCCAGUGGAGCAAUGCAUACUCACUGACAUCUGCUAAGACAAAAUAACCAAGCUCAGAAGAAAGUUGCUUAUGAUCACAAGGAGUUACUGGAGCCAGCUGAACCUGAGGUUGUAGUCAAUUGGGCUGUGCCUGAGAAAUCCUUGAUCAAAGCACACUUCCAGGCUGUGAUCUGUAAUGGUUGUCAGCUGCAGUCUGCCUUAGUCUACAGCCUAACUGCACCUUGGAGACAACCAGCUCCUGCUUGUAUCUGUGCUGUGGGACUGUCUGCUCAGAACGUGCACUCUUUGGUAGGUUCAGGUUUGUUUUUUUUUUUUUUCUACAUUUGAAAUAUAUUGCAAACUCUUCUUUUCUCAAAGGUGCUUUCUUUCAUUAUAAGUAAUAAUCACAACUACAUUUCCUUAAGCUUAGUCUGCGUUAAGGGUAUAAGGAACCCUUUGCCUUCUUGCUGAUGCUUUCCCUCCCUCCCUCCCUGCUGUUUAUGACCUGACAGAAUAGUUUCUCUCACUGAUUUGUGGACAUUCAAAGGAGUUGCCUAGCCUCUAAUUUUAUUAACAAGUUUUUGUAGCUGUUUUCUUUAAAAAAUAAGAGAGUAUUGAUUAAUUAUUUUUUUUCUUUGCAUGCAAAUGGGAGGAGAGGCCUGCUCUGGCAGGAUGCUGAACAUGCUCUGCCACACAGUGCUUUCUGUCACUUACUGGGCUUUCCAGGCUAGCUGCUGGAAAUGUCACAGGAUUAAUUUCAGAAUCCCCUAAGGUGCCUGUUGGCUUUGUCCAAAAUCAUUACUCGUUCUCUGCUUUGUACUCAUUUUAUGAUACUAAAACACAGGGAGGCCUUAGCUGUGUUUGCUGCAUUACUGUUAAUUUCUGUUCUGCUCCACCUAGACUCCUACCCUUUUCCCCACAGUAUGUUAUGUGAGCACCUUGCAGUGGCAGCUAGCUGUGUUCUUCUCUUGGCAUGCUUAUUUCAUGAGCUAAGUGAUGCAAGGAUGCCAGCCACCACCUCCUCCAGGGACACUCCACUGCUGGAAAUUAGUUGCUCCUGCCUCUUGCUUCUAGUCUGUGAUAGUGCAGUGGAAAAAUCAACAGCAGACAAAUAAUUAGACACGAUGUCAUCCUUGCAGAUAGGGAGGACUUGCAGGCAGACAGCAGAUCAUGUAUGUGCCUUAAGAAUGCUUGUGGAGAUGGAGUUAUGAUCCAAGAAUGUGCAAAUAGCUGCCCAUCCCAGUGUUGCGUGCUGUGAUGGGGAAGUAGUGCUAAACCAUCUCUAGACUUGAUUAGCAUACAAACACAAAAUAUUUGUUUUGUUAUGGGGAGGUGGUUGAGGUGAUUUUUGUAGGUGAGCAAAGAAGAAACUACAUGAAUGGAAUCUUUCUUUACCUUCUCUCUGCUGGGGGCUAAAAUAAAACUGGAGGGAGCGAUGUGGUGAGAGCUGGU